ACUUAGAUAGUUUAAUCGGUUAAAACAUAUGUCUCAUAUACAUACAAUGGAGGUUCAAAGCCCCCUCUGAGUA
This 73-nucleotide transfer RNA is filed under the name Magnusiomyces suaveolens. RNAcentral describes it as "Saprochaete suaveolens tRNA-Met". It matches the Rfam family "tRNA". From Rfam's summary of the family: Transfer RNA (tRNA) molecules are approximately 80 nucleotides in length. Their secondary structure includes four short double-helical elements and three loops (D, anti-codon, and T loops). Further hydrogen bonds mediate the characteristic L-shaped molecular structure. tRNAs have two regions of fundamental functional importance: the anti-codon, which is responsible for specific mRNA codon recognition, and the 3' end, to which the tRNAs corresponding amino acid is attached (by aminoacyl-tRNA synthetases). tRNAs cope with the degeneracy of the genetic code in two manners: having more than one tRNA (with a specific anti-codon) for a particular amino acid; and 'wobble' base-pairing, i.e. permitting non-standard base-pairing at the 3rd anti-codon position. The record is from RNAcentral. Lineage: Eukaryota; Fungi; Ascomycota; Dipodascomycetes; Dipodascales; Dipodascaceae.